UACGUAGGCAGCAAGCGUUGUUCGGAGUUACUGGGCGUAAAGGGCGGGUAGGCGGCCACUGCAAGUCGGUUGUGAAAUCUCCGGGCUUAACCCGGAAAGGUCAACCGAUACUGCAGGGCUAGAGUGCAGAAGGGGCAACUGGAAUUCUCGGUGUAGCGGUGAAAUGCGUAGAUAUCGAGAGGAACACCUGCGGCGAAGGCGGGUUGCUGGGCUGACACUGACGCUGAUGCGCGAAAGCCAGGGGAGCGAACGGG
This 254-nucleotide ribosomal RNA is filed under the name uncultured prokaryote. RNAcentral's name for it is "partial 16S ribosomal RNA". It matches the Rfam family "Bacterial small subunit ribosomal RNA", at positions 524 to 776 of the family's 1533-position model. The record is from RNAcentral.